UACGAAGGGGGCUAGCGUUGCUCGGAAUCACUGGGCGUAAAGCGCACGUAGGCGGCUUUGUAAGUUAGAGGUGAAAGCCCAGGGCUCAACCCUGGAAUUGCCUUUAAGACUGCAUCGCUUGAACAUCGGAGAGGUAAGUGGAAUUCCGAGUGUAGAGGUGAAAUUCGUAGAUAUUCGGAAGAACACCAGUGGCGAAGGCGACUUACUGGACGAUUGUUGACGCUGAGGUGCGAAAGCGUGGGGAGCAAACAGG
This 253-nucleotide ribosomal RNA is filed under the name uncultured bacterium. Its description in RNAcentral is "partial 16S ribosomal RNA". It matches the Rfam family "Bacterial small subunit ribosomal RNA", at positions 524 to 776 of the family's 1533-position model. The record is from RNAcentral.